GCCUUGGCUUUUGAUUCCUUACAACAAAAUACCCUAUUGCAACCAUCUAAGGUGCAUUCAUGAUACAACCCUACAUCAAGGGUUGUAGUGAUUCAAUGUGAUCACUACGAGUAUCAAUACAAUACAAUUAUCUCAUAAUCAAAAAUAAAAUCAAAUUUUAUUUUAAUUAAUUUUUUUCUUUUCUCAAAAGAUAACUUAUAAUUAAAGGAUCUCAUUACUUAUCAUCCUGGGACAACCUUUCAGCAUAACUUGUGUUAUGCUAGCGCAACCUUAUAUCAGGAUA
This 283-nucleotide long non-coding RNA is filed under the name Elaeis guineensis (African oil palm). Its description in RNAcentral is "long non-coding RNA (EGUI_LNC046692)". Lineage: Eukaryota; Viridiplantae; Streptophyta; Magnoliopsida; Arecales; Arecaceae. The record is from RNAcentral.